UUUUGGACAAUGGGCGCAAGCCUGAUCCAGCAAUGCCGCGUGAGUGAAGAAGGCCUUCGGGUUGUAAAGCUCUUUUGUCAGAGAAGAAACGGUGAGCUCUAAUACAGUUUGCUAAUGACGGUACCUGAAGAAUAAGCACCGGCUAACUACGUGCCAGCAGCCGCGGUAAUACGUAGGGUGCAAGCGUUACCCGCGAAUUACUGGGCGUAAAGCGUGCGCAGGCGGUUAUGUAAGUCAGAUGUGAAAUCCCCGGGCUCAACCUGGGAAUGGCAUUUGAGACUGCAUGGCUAGAGUGUGUCAGAGGGGGGUAGAAUUCCACGUGUAGCAGUGAAAUGCGUAGAGAUGUGGAGGAAUACCGAUGGCGAAGGCAGCCCCCUGGAUAACACUACGCUCAUCACGAA
This 401-nucleotide ribosomal RNA is filed under the name uncultured bacterium. Its description in RNAcentral is "bacterial SSU rRNA". It matches the Rfam family "Bacterial small subunit ribosomal RNA", at positions 362 to 757 of the family's 1533-position model. The record is from RNAcentral.